UAAACGACUCUCGGCAACGGAUAUCUCGGCUCUCGCAUCGAUGAAGAACGUAGCGAAAUGCGAUACUUGGUGUGAAUUGCAGAAUCCCGCGAACCAUCGAGUCUUUGAACGCAAGUUGCGCCCGAAGCCAUUAGGUUGAGGGCACGCCUGCCUGGGCGUCUCACG
Molecule: ribosomal RNA, 165 nt
Filed under: Camellia sinensis
Lineage: Eukaryota; Viridiplantae; Streptophyta; Magnoliopsida; Ericales; Theaceae
Also listed under: 1 other name
Description: 5.8S ribosomal RNA
Rfam family: 5.8S ribosomal RNA
About the family: 5.8S ribosomal RNA (5.8S rRNA) is a component of the large subunit of the eukaryotic ribosome.
Source: RNAcentral